RNAcentral lists this unclassified non-coding RNA (300 nucleotides) under Chaetothyriales sp. RNAcentral's name for it is "partial contains small subunit ribosomal RNA and internal transcribed spacer 1". The record is from RNAcentral. Lineage: Eukaryota; Fungi; Ascomycota; Eurotiomycetes; Chaetothyriales.
AAGUCGUAACAAGGUUAUCCUUCUGGUUAAAAGAUUUUAGCUACUGAAGCCUUCAACACAGCGACUGUAAAUAAAUGUAGAGUCUCCACUUAAGGUGAAGACAAUACCGCUGAAAUGCUGUGAUCACGUAAGUGUACCAGCAGCCUAACAUCAGUUAGGCCCACAGAUCAAGCUGCGGUGGUCGAAAGUCAAAGAACUUGAGACUGUAAUAUGACCGGUUCUAACCUAAACGGUUAAGAAACAAACGUUCCGUAGGUGAACCUGCGGAAGGAUCAUUAAUGAGUUAGGGUCUUCUAGGCC